CCCUUCCCCCCCCCCACCACCACCAGUUAAUCAACGCAGCGAAAUUAAAGCAAGCUGGACGCUAAAGAGCACAGAUGAAUUAAUUCCACAAACCUCAUUAGUGCCGGGUCUGACUCGGUGUCCAAAUCCUCUGCCACAGCCCGAAUAACAGGCACCCACACACCCAGCCAAGAAAUUCUUCCCAAGGCAGAGGGGGAACGCGCUGCUUCGCUGCUGCCACUUGAUUUCCAGACUUGGCCUUUUCUUUCUUUCUUUUCUUUUUUUUUUUUUUUUUCUUUUUCCUCUCCCUCCUCUCUAUUUUCUGUCCCUUUUCUCUUUCCGGUUAAACGUCAACUUCCAGUCCGGCGGGGAGGGCAGGCAGCCCGCGCUCCCACAUACCUCCCCGCUGAUUCCUGUACCCUCCAGUCAAAUAUCAACUUUGUUCUCGCUCCUCUCGCCGUCCCGGAGCUGCUGCCUCUCCCUCCCGGGGGGGUGGAGGUGGGGGGGGGUGGCUGACAGCGAGGAAAGGUGGGAGCCACCGAUAAAUGAGAUGGGAUCCCAGGAGCUGCCUUUCAGGAGACUUCUCCAAGCUCUUCCCCCAGAGGAGAAGAAUACCUGGUGAGCCUGAGGUUUUGCCACACAAACCAGCCGUUUUAAACAGCAGAGAACAGGGACUGGGGAGAGGAAGGAUCAGCAGAUUUGGCUGCAGAUGGCUCCACCAAAGCUCCCAGCCGCAUACGUGGUGGACCUCACGUUUAUAAAUCAGUGAUUUUCUGCUGUGGCAACACGGCCUAAAAACUUUUGCCUUAGGAGUGAAAACAAGUCAGUUUUACAGCUCACACUAAAUUAUUGCGCUCUCUGCUGAGACAACCAGCCCGAGUGCCAAUUACUGAUAAUUACAAGGGGGUUUAGGGUUAAUUCUUUUCUUCUUUUUUAAUGCCACGCCAGCUUGUACAGAACCUUUCUUCUUUCUGUCCUGCCACCGCAGUGUGCCCAGAGACAGCUCUAGGGCUUUUUUCUAGGUCUCUGCUGAGCAGUUUCAGCCAAGACCCUGCUGCUGGAGCACAUUCAUUGCCUCUUUGAAUUCUGUAACAACACACGCUGCUAAAAAGAAAAUAAAUACUUGAUCCCAGAGCUGCA
RNAcentral lists this long non-coding RNA (1119 nucleotides) under Calidris pugnax (ruff). Its description in RNAcentral is "lncRNA (ENSCPUG00000002718.1)". The record is from RNAcentral. Lineage: Eukaryota; Metazoa; Chordata; Aves; Charadriiformes; Scolopacidae.